Molecule: long non-coding RNA, 1435 nt
Organism: Chinchilla lanigera (long-tailed chinchilla)
Lineage: Eukaryota; Metazoa; Chordata; Mammalia; Rodentia; Chinchillidae
Exons: 3
Source: RefSeq, a predicted model, not a curated record
UGCUUGGUCACCUGGCUCUUCGUCUGCCUACGGCUUUUGGUUGACAAAGCGCACCACCAGGUGGAAAGGCCUAAGACGUCAGGACUCCUCCCAUCCGCUGCCUCCCCUCCACCCACUCUAGAAGGUAAAAGGCUUUAGCAGCGACAUCCUACGCAGAUUUUAAAUCAGGAAGUGCUACAGACUAUUUUUCUCCAGGCUAGCAUCUUCAAAGAGACCUCAGUUCACAACAAGUAAGACCUAUUUAAACGGUUCCAGCAGCAUCAGAUAACUGAUAAUCAAAAUUUUAAAAGUAGCGAGCGGUGGCAUACUCUGCCAGAGCUCAAAAAAACAAAACAAACAAGCAAAAAAAAAGGGUUGAGGAAAGGAAAGAUGGUUAUUAGUUCUGAAAAGUCUUAUUUUUUCUUGGGCAAAACCAGAAACAAAAUAGUGUUUGCAUUUCUGUGGCUGAGCACACAAAGUGUUACGUAGCAACCACAGAUAGCCAGUGGUAGAAAAACAAGGCAGCGUGACAUCCGGAGGGAGCUGUCCAGUCACCGGACACCACUGUGUGCCUGUUGCCUAAUUUCACCACCAGCAUGUCCCCUGCUGCUGAGACAACCAGAAAGCUGGGAAGGAAGCAGCUUUGGGGAAGCGGGCCAAGGGUAAAGACCAUGGUCCCCGGCAGGGUGGGGUGGUCAGACCGUAUGACCUCCGAGGUCUCCUGAAUUAACAUGCUAUGACGUGCUUCAUGAGGGCAAUCUCCAGAUGCACGCACGUUAGGGCAGCCAGGGAAAGAGCGCAACUGCUGUCUCUGUGGAGUCUCAGAGCUGGACUUCGGGACAAAGUACAGACUUGGAAGUGGACAAGCCUGUGUUCAAACAUGGCCUUGCUGGUUGCUGUAGUACACAUUUGCCUCCCUUGCCACUCUGCAAGACAUUAUUAUUAAAAGAAAACGACAAGGCACGCCCCGAGAGAAGCUAAAGAGCAUGUAUCCGACACAGAACGUGUAUCCAGAGGUCUCUGGUCACUGAGACAUGAAAGCCACCACCCACAACUUACAAGAGGUGAGGUCGGUUUGCCUCAUGGGAGAAAGGGCACAGCAGAAGAACCAGAGGGGGGAGAACUGCUCACAUUAUGGUGGUCAGGAAGCAGAGAGAGAAGGCAGGGGCCAGAGAGGGAGGCCGCUUUCAGUUCAUGCCUCCUGUGACCUGCCUCUUCCAACCAGCUCCCACUUCCUACCAGCAUAUUCCACUGUGGAUUCCUCAGCGACCGAUCAACUGAUGCUUAAAGCGCUGCUAGGAUCCAAUCACCUUCCAAGUCUCCAACCCCUGAACACAUGACUCUUUCGGGGUACAUUCCAGAUCCAAACCAUAACAUCAGGAUGUAUUCUAAAAGCUCAGUGAAACAGGAAAUCCCCAAACAGGGAGAAGACCUUAGUGCCAAACAAGGUAUACAA